UAGGGAAUCUUCCGCAAUGGACGAAAGUCUGACGGAGCAACGCCGCGUGAGUGAAGAAGGAUUUCGGUUCGUAAAACUCUGUUGUUAGGGAAGAAAAAAUGUAUAGUAACUAUAUACAAAAGAGACGGUACCUAACCAGAAAGCCACGGCUAACUACGUGCCAGCAGCCGCGGUAAUACGUAGGUGGCAAGCGUUGUCCGGAAUUAUUGGGCGUAAAGCGCGCGCAGGUGGUUUAGAAAGUCUGAUGUGAAAGCCCACGGCUCAACCGUGGAGGGUCAUUGGAAACUAAUAAACUUGAGUGCAGGAGAGAAAAGUGGAAUUCCUAGUGUAGCGGUGAAAUGCGUAGAGAUUAGGAGGAACACCGGUGGCGAAGGCAGGUCACUGGGCCGUUACUGACACUGAGGAGCGAAAGCGUGGGGAGCGAACAGG
RNAcentral lists this ribosomal RNA (429 nucleotides) under Verrucomicrobiota bacterium. RNAcentral's name for it is "Verrucomicrobia bacterium partial 16S ribosomal RNA". It matches the Rfam family "Bacterial small subunit ribosomal RNA", at positions 355 to 776 of the family's 1533-position model. Lineage: Bacteria; Pseudomonadati; Verrucomicrobiota. The record is from RNAcentral.